AUAAGCGGAGGAAAAGAAACUAACAAGGAUUCCCCUAGUAGCGGCGAGCGAAGCGGGAAGAGCUCAAAUUUAUAAUCUGGCACCUUCGGUGUCCGAGUUGUAAUCUCUAGAAAUGUUUUCCGCGUUGGACCGCACACAAGUCUGUUGGAAUACAGCGGCAUAGUGGUGAGACCCCCGUAUAUGGUGCGGACGCCCAGCGCUUUGUGAUACAUUUUCGAAGAGUCGAGUUGUUUGGGAAUGCAGCUCAAAUUGGGUGGUAAAUUCCAUCUAAAGCUAAAUAUUGGCGAGAGACCGAUAGCGAACAAGUACCGUGAGGGAAAGAUGAAAAGCACUUUGGAAAGAGAGUUAACAGUACGUGAAAUUGUUGGAAGGGAAACGCUUGAAGUCAGACUUGCUUGCCGAGCAAUCGGUUUGCAGGCCAGCAUCAGUUUUCCGGGAUGGAUAAUGGUAGAGAGAAGGUAGCAGUUUCGGCUGUGUUAUAGCUCUCUGCUGGAUACAUCUUGGGGGACUGAGGAACGCAGUGUGCCUUUGGCGGGGGUUUCGACCUCUUCACACUUAGGAUGCUGGUGGAAUGGCUUUAAACGACCCGUCUUGAACACCG
RNAcentral lists this ribosomal RNA (601 nucleotides) under Rhodotorula mucilaginosa. Its description in RNAcentral is "partial large subunit ribosomal RNA". It matches the Rfam family "Eukaryotic large subunit ribosomal RNA", at positions 46 to 664 of the family's 3401-position model. Lineage: Eukaryota; Fungi; Basidiomycota; Microbotryomycetes; Sporidiobolales; Sporidiobolaceae. The record is from RNAcentral.